CAUAGGGCAACCGGCGAUUGCCACCAACCUUGAGGACUUGGGUUCGAUUCCCUGGGAACCACGUGGUAGGAGAGAACUGACCUCCAUGCUUAAGUUUGUCCACACAAAAUAAAUUUUAAGAUGUAACGACAACAACCAAAUGGCUUUAUUUGAGAAGAUGAACAAGAGGGUGUGUGUGGGGGGGGUUAGGUUUAAUUUAGUUUUUCUUCUUUGUAGGAGCUGGGAGUGCGGACAUACAUGUCAAGUGAGUGUUCCACUACCCAGCAAAAUCUCCAGCCCCCGGUAAUGUAUUUCUUGUUGUUGUUGGGUUGUUUUUUUUUUCCUUUUUUAUUUUCAUUUUUUCCUUUGAUAAAUUUCUUGGGUUUCAGCUACCUGGAAAUUAUCAAUGACUGCACGUGCCCAGCUCUUCUGGACCCUCUGAUGUUCUGUCACAUGGGAGCAAAUGGAGAGCUGGGACAUCCUUUGACCUCAGCCCUCAAAGGAUAAUUAACUUCUUGCUCAAUCCCUCAGCAUUUGACCAAAAUACCAAGAUAAAAAUGUAGGCCCGUGUUAGUACAAAAGGUCCUGCAUUCAACUGUCCUCCUUAUAUUGCCCAAGAAGUCUUGUGGAAUUCCAAGAAGAAUUCAAGGGGCCAGACCUGGAAUAUGCAUCAAUGAGAAUAAGACACUGACGAAGCUAACGACACUAACGGGGAAUGAGGAUAAUCGACUCCUGUCCUUUGUUUUACUCUUUAACCUAGUAAUAAAUCCCUUUAAAGGCC
RNAcentral lists this long non-coding RNA (760 nucleotides) under Mus musculus (house mouse). Its description in RNAcentral is "predicted gene, 36199". The record is from RNAcentral. Lineage: Eukaryota; Metazoa; Chordata; Mammalia; Rodentia; Muridae.